RNAcentral lists this long non-coding RNA (555 nucleotides) under Struthio camelus australis. RNAcentral describes it as "lncRNA (ENSSCUG00000013461.1)". Lineage: Eukaryota; Metazoa; Chordata; Aves; Struthioniformes; Struthionidae. The record is from RNAcentral.
AUUUAUUUAUAAAUGUGUUUACCAAUUAACAUAUAUGCAUUUAUUAUUUAUUUCUCUAUUUUUAUUUAAUUAGUUCUUCAUGUUUUCUAGUUUUCUGUUUCACUGAGAUGAACAUGCAUUAAAUCAAUACAUCACUUGAAUGAAAAAACAAACAUAUAUAACAGCUGUCAGAAACAGCAGGAGAGGAUUCCAUUGGCUCACCGUGGCUGAAACUAUUCCUGCUUUUUUUCUCUAGAUUUAAAGCUCUUCCCUUCUUGGGGUCUUACAAGCCAGGAAAGCUUUGGAGGAUGUACUGCUGCCUAAAUCAUUAUGGCUGCCAUACAGAAGAAUAUCAGGAAGAGAUGGUGUCUUUUACAUUACAGUGUUCUUGCAGCAAGUUUACUAGUCUUCAUGAAGAAAGUCUUGAUGAAAUUAAAUAGUGGAAAAAAUUUCACGGAGUGUGCGAAUGAAACAGUCAGGAAGAAAUCCAUUUAUACAAGGCUCACACAAGGCUCACACUGAGUCUGAUGAGCAUUGACAAUUGGAAUAAAUUAUUUUGGCAGAAAGGAACUUCCA